Molecule: long non-coding RNA, 555 nt
Filed under: Gouania willdenowi (blunt-snouted clingfish)
Lineage: Eukaryota; Metazoa; Chordata; Actinopteri; Blenniiformes; Gobiesocidae
Description: lncRNA (ENSGWIG00000000168.1)
Source: RNAcentral
AAAAUUUGGGCUGCAGGAACCAAAAGAUUGGCUACAGACACAAGAGACACUAUGCACACUAUGAAGUGUGUUGUGGCUGCUUUGUUCAGUCUGUUGUCCCUGGGACAGACAUAUGAUGAGAGGAGCUGUGACAGUCUGAUGGAGCCCAUACAAGUCAGCAACCAAGAAAUUCUGGGGAAGUGGAUGUACAUCGGAGCCAGCUCUGUGAUCCCUGGGAGUCGAUCUCUGGGCCGCCUUCUGGACAGUGUGUGGCUGGACAUCACAGCCACCAGUCAGAGCAACACCCUCAACAUUGUUCAGACUCAGAGGGUAAAGUAUGGCAGCUGUUGGACCAUCACGUAUAACGUGACCUUUGAAAGGAGCAUAAUGCUGAUUGGUGAGGAAAGACAAUCCACUGUCAGGAUGUUUGGAGGGAAGAACAGGUUUUAAAUACUCAUGUUGUCUCUCUUUCUUUGUGUGUGUGUUUGGACAGAGCAACCAUUCUACCUGAAAGAAGUCUACCUCCCAACCAUCUGCUCUGACUGCCUGGUUGCCUGGGAGGACGUUAUAGUGGGG